RNAcentral lists this transfer RNA (86 nucleotides) under Heterocephalus glaber (naked mole-rat). It matches the Rfam family "tRNA". Rfam says of the family: Transfer RNA (tRNA) molecules are approximately 80 nucleotides in length. Their secondary structure includes four short double-helical elements and three loops (D, anti-codon, and T loops). The record is from Rfam by way of RNAcentral. Lineage: Eukaryota; Metazoa; Chordata; Mammalia; Rodentia; Bathyergidae.
GGGGAUGUAGCUCAGUGGUAGAGCACUUGCCUAUCAUGUGCAAGGCCCUGGGUGGGAAGCCCUGGGCUCAAGCCUCAGCAUCACAA